UACGUAGGGGGCAAGCGUUGUCCGGAUUUAUUGGGCGUAAAGAGCGUGUAGGCGGUUUGGUAGGUCCGCUGUGAAAACUCGAGCUCAACCUCGAGACGCCGGUGGAAACCAUCAGACUAGAGUCCGGGAGAGGAGAGUGGAAUUCCUGGUGUAGCGGUGAAAUGCGCAGAUAUCAGGAAGAACACCCGUGGCGAAAGCGGCUCUCUGGAACGGUACUGACGCUGAGACGCGAAAGCGUGGGGAGCGAACAGG
Molecule: ribosomal RNA, 252 nt
Filed under: uncultured bacterium
Lineage: Bacteria
Description: partial 16S ribosomal RNA
Rfam family: Bacterial small subunit ribosomal RNA
Source: RNAcentral